GACGAACGCUGGCGGCGUGCUUAACACAUGCAAGUCGAACGGAAAGGCCCUGCUUUUGUGGGGUGCUCGAGUGGCGAACGGGUGAGUAACACGUGCGUAACCUGCCCUUGACUUUGGGAUAACUUCAGGAAACUGGGGCUAAUACCGGAUAGGAGCUCCUGCUGCAUGGUGGGGGUUGGAAAGUUUCGGCGGUUGGGGAUGGACUCGCGGCUUAUCAGCUUGUUGGUGGGGUAGUGGCUUACCAAGGCUUUGACGGGUAGCCGGCCUGAGAGGGUGACCGGCCACAUUGGGACUGAGAUACGGCCCAGACUCCUACGGGAGGCAGCAGUGGGGAAUAUUGCACAAUGGGCGGAAGCCUGAUGAAGCAACGCCGCGUGCGGGAUGACGGCCUUCGGGUUGUAAACCGCUUUCGCCUGUGACGAAGCGUGAGUGACGGUAAUGGGUAAAGAAGCACCGGCUAACUACGUG
RNAcentral lists this ribosomal RNA (468 nucleotides) under uncultured bacterium. Its description in RNAcentral is "partial 16S ribosomal RNA". It matches the Rfam family "Bacterial small subunit ribosomal RNA", at positions 28 to 507 of the family's 1533-position model. The record is from RNAcentral.